This 1420-nucleotide long non-coding RNA is filed under the name Mytilus galloprovincialis (Mediterranean mussel). Lineage: Eukaryota; Metazoa; Mollusca; Bivalvia; Mytilida; Mytilidae. The record is from RNAcentral.
AUUGUCAUAGUUAUUUUAUUUAAUAAGAGUUUUCAUCUUUUAUUAUCUUAUAAAAUAGUUAAUUAUAAAGAUAUUUUCUUUAUGCUAUAAUUGUAAAUAGUUGUAAAUUAUGUUUUUUAUAAAGAAAGGUCUUUGUUUCUGAUCGGACAAUUGGUAUACUUAUUAUAUCUGUUUUUAUAGUUAUUUAUAACAUCCGCCUUUUUGUCGCACUGACAAGAAAUAAUAAUUCACCUUAAAGUUACUAUUGCAUUGAAGUUAUAAUGUUUCCAAUGGUAAGGUUUUAUUAUUCAAAAGCCUUUUAGGCAUGAUUUCUUGAUGUGCAAUUUAUUUGACAUGUUAUUGUCAGCAAACAUAUGUUUUUUUUUAUUUUUCUAUAAAUAACAUGUUAUUUAGUAAACUUAUUUUUAGCAAGUAUACAUGUAAGGCAUAUAUUCUAUAGCUAGUUCCCCACAACAAACUAUUAUAUAUUUUUCAUUGCGUAACAUGAUUUCAUGAUAGAAAAGUUUCUAUUCUACAAUUGUCCCCCCUUUUUAUUGUGCAAAGAGUUAACCCCCCUUAACAGAGAAAUGGUUAGAUAAGUAACCUCAUUGUUUGAAUUGGAGUUUCAUAAGAAAGAUGUUUAUAUUAUUCCUUUAUUUAAUUCUCAGUACUUAGAAUAAAGUUUAUCCAAACACCUUAAAUGCUCUACCAAGUUUAUAUUUGAACGUUUAGAAUAUUUAUGCAAAAGACAUGAGAUGUUGCUCAUACAUUAAGUAUUGCGAUACGCAUUAUGUUCAUGUUUCAGAAUAUUUAUGAAAUAUUUGAUUAUGAUAGGUCUACUGCAUUAUCUAUUGGCAUAAUACUUGCAUUAUUAUAUUGAUUUAUACUGAUGAAUAUUGUUUGUCAUUUUAUAUUAUAAUUGCUAUUAUAAUUAGACUUUUACAUGCGCUCUUUGGAAAUAAAGACAUAAAACUAUUUCAAGUUUUAUUGAAUAUUGUUUCAGGCCUUGGCUCCAGACAUCACAAGUCGUCAAGGUAUAGACCCCGUUGGUAUCAGACCAAUUCCAAGCAAACACAUAGAAACUCUAAUUCUGACACUAAGAUCCAAUCGGCCAGACUCCAGAUAUGUUGUUGGUAAUACGUAGAAUGAUAUAAAGAGAGUAAUCUGUCUUGCCACAUAAAUUGUCUAGUAAUUAUACCGAACAACUUGUUCCAUUUGACACACUUAGACAACCAAAAAUAAUGGCUCCCAAAUGUGCUUUUGGUUGGAAAACUGCGCAAAAAGACAAGUUAGAGUCAGUUUUCUUCGAGGGACAAAUGUCAUCAGACUUUCUACAAGAUCUAAUUUGUUCGCGUAAGGGGAACAAAACAUAACCAGGGUCUUCCUUUCACUGAUUUAUAUAUUUUUGUUAAAAUUUAGGUAGUUGUAACAAUGUCCAGGC